AGCUCAGGGCCAAUCUGCCUCCACAAAAAGAAGAGGAUUGUUGGCAGAUGUUAGCUCAGGGCUAAUCUUUCUCCAAAGCAAACAAACCUAAAAAUCUUGAAACCCCCAGCUCACCCUAAGAUUCCCCAGCCAGUGGAGUACGUUACCAUCUGCUGUCUGAGGAGACAUGCUUUCCUUUGCUUGAAAACCCCGUAAUAACCUUAUUUGGAGGCACAUGCCUUGAAAGGGGAUGCUCAUUCUCCUCAAGACCCCACACUCAUCCCUUGUUACCGUUAAUUAGCUUUAUGACUAGGGUCGAUUCCCAGCAUGCUCCAGGGACGGGAAUAUGCUAUGACCUGGGAAGAAAUAACUUACACACUAAACGAAAGGAGCUGAAUGUUUCCAAGAACCAUGAGAACGAGGAAGCAGACACUUCCCCAGUCAAGCCUCCAGAGAGAACCCAAUCCUGGUCGACAUCUUGAUGACAGGCUUGUGAGAUCCUAAGCAGAGGACCCAUUAAGCUGUGCUCACACUACUGAUUCACAGAAAUUGUGAGGUGAUUUUGAUUUGGCUGUCUGGAUGCUGAAGAAUUCCUUUAUUUAUUUAUUUUUAGUCCUUGACGUUCAAUAAUGGCUCACUAUUACUUUGGUUUGAACAGAAGUUCGUUUUAAGAACCUUGAAGACAGAUUUGUGUCCUCCGCAAGUCAAAGUCAAGGCAGCUGCUUCUGGGGGCUGUAGCACCGCUGCUAGAACCAAGAGGUGAGGGCCGCAGAAGGCACCCUGCAAGGUCACUGCAGAUGCAGCUGAGGAGAGGAGUGUAGGGUCAUCUAGAAGAGGCAGCUCUGCCCCCAGGAGCGGGAGAUUUCACCAUCAGACUCCAGAAAUUCUGGUCCCAGAGGCAAGAUGUCCCUACUGUGAGCCUGAUGUUUAAACAUGAACUUCACCUGACUCCCCCUCUUCUGAUUUCAUGUCCUCAUGGCAAUUUUCUGGCGCCAGUGAAGGGCUGCUCAUGUAGAGAGAGAAUGCAAAAAAAAAAAAAAAAAAUACAGAUUUUAAAUAUUUCUGAGUCUCUCACAGUGAUUUCUCAGGGUAAUGAGUGGCUUCUGAUUACCAUUUGGUUUUCCCAGGCUACAGGGAGAAAAGGAGAUUGUUAUGCCAACCUGAAUAAUUCCAGUCUGUGUGACAAUUCUAUUUCUCACUUUAAAUUAAUAUAUUGCCAGCCUGAUGCCUUCCCCAGGUCUUCUGCACAUUUUAGUGAGUAUGAGUCAGUAUUUUGGGGUCUGAUUGUCCCUGGACAUUGACAAGAGUGAGCCAGCCUUCUUCUAGAUAACUCUAUUUCCAUCUUCCAUUCCUCUCUAUUUAUUUCUACAUCAAGCACAGUUAAUAUUUGGUUAAUUCAUCUGUAUUAAAAUAUGUUAAGACUAGAUAAAAUUUUAAAUACCUCUGGAGAAAAUUUAUAAACUUUUUUUGGACCUCAUUUGCCUUUACUUCAUUGUCUUCAAACAAUAAGAGUAGCAUGGGGAAACUGAGACAGCUUCUUGCAAUAGUCUUGCAAAGGUCACUUGCAAAGAUCAUUUUUAUGUUGAGGAUGGAUGUCUCCUCAUUUGAAGGGUAAUGCUCUUUCUACUAAAUUCCCUGUCCAACCUAAUGGUCCUAAAGCUGUUAGUAGAAGCAAAAGGUUACUGUGUAAAACAAUGGGCUGGCAUGGGGUGAGGAUACCAGGAGAGGACCCGAAGGUGAAAUUGCUCCUGUUCAUUUGCUCUGGCAUUUCAGAUGGUGUCCUUGUUGUGGUCUUGCUUGUCUCAGAUCGACCUGUUCUUUUGAAAAGCCAGAUACAAAAGCAUAGAAGCAAGGGUUGAAGAAUCAGCAUUUGAAUUUCAGAAUGCUCGAGAGAAGGAGAUUUUGUUGAAGUUGGGUGACUUAACAAACCGACUUAACGAGCACUGUGUUUAUUUUGCGUAAACAUAAUCCCAGUUAUGAAAUUACAGCAGAAGCCUUGUUAUCUAACAAAAUGAAGACCAAUAGUUUAAUCAAAAAGUUGGAUGAAGCAUGGAAUUUAUUUUUAAAAAACCAUAGAAACC
Molecule: long non-coding RNA, 2060 nt
Filed under: Equus caballus (horse)
Lineage: Eukaryota; Metazoa; Chordata; Mammalia; Perissodactyla; Equidae
Description: lncRNA (ENSECAG00000052856.1)
Source: RNAcentral